GAUGAACGCUGGCGGCGUGCCUAAUACAUGCAAGUCGAACGAAACUUCUUUAUCACCGAGUGCUUGCACUCACCGAUAAAGGGUUGAGUGGCGAACGGGUGAGUAACACGUGGGCAACCUGCCCAAAAGAGGGGGAUAACACUUGGCAACAGGUGCUAAUACCGCAUAACCAUAGUUACCGCAUGGUAACUAUGUAAAAGGUGGCUAUACUACCGCUUUUGGAUGGGACCGCGGCGCAUUAGCUAGUUGGUAGGGUAAAGGCUUACCAAGGCAAUGAUGCGUAGCCGAAUUGAGAGGUUGAUCGGCCACAUUGGGACUGAGACACGGCCCAAACUCCUACGGGAGGCAGCAGUAGGGAAUCUUCCACAAUGGGCGAAAGCCUGAUGGAGCAACGCCGCGUGGGUGAAGAAGGUCUUCGGAUCGUAAAACCCUGUUGUUAGGGAAGAAAGUGCGUGAGAGUAACUGUUCACGUUUCGACGGUAUCUAACCAGAAAGCCACGGCUAACUACGUG
RNAcentral lists this ribosomal RNA (512 nucleotides) under uncultured bacterium. Its description in RNAcentral is "partial 16S ribosomal RNA". It matches the Rfam family "Bacterial small subunit ribosomal RNA", at positions 28 to 507 of the family's 1533-position model. The record is from RNAcentral.